RNAcentral lists this unclassified non-coding RNA (1344 nucleotides) under uncultured Neocallimastigales. RNAcentral describes it as "partial contains small subunit ribosomal RNA, internal transcribed spacer 1, 5.8S ribosomal RNA, internal transcribed spacer 2, and large subunit ribosomal RNA". The stretch from base 589 to 1344 matches the Rfam family "Eukaryotic large subunit ribosomal RNA", at positions 1 to 630 of the family's 3401-position model. Lineage: Eukaryota; Fungi; Neocallimastigomycota; Neocallimastigomycetes; Neocallimastigales. The record is from RNAcentral.
AAAGUCGUAACAAGGUUUCCGUAGGUGAACUGCGGAAGGAUCAUUAAAAAUAUCACAGUUCUGUGAUUUUAAUAAUCAUCCUACCUUUGUGAAUUUGUUUUGUAAAAAAAUUAUGUUGUCUAUCCCUGUGGUUUUGGAAAAGUUGAAAACUUUUUCGAAUCCUCAGGACUAGGCUUCAUAGACCUUUUUUAAAUUAAACUUUUGUAUUCAUUGUCUAAAUUAUUUUUAAUAUUUAAAAACAACUUUUGACAAUGGAUCUCUUGUUCUCGCAACGAUGAAGAACGCAGCAAAAUGCGAUAAGUAAUGUGAAUUGCAGAAUACGUGAAUCAUAAAUCUUCGAACGCAUAUUGCACUUUUAGUUUACUAAAAAGUAUGUCUGUUUGAGUAUCAGUAAAUAUUCUCAUAAAACAUUUGUUUAUGGUUAUGAGUGUUUUACAACGAUAACAAGUUGCUUCACUUUAAAUUGAUUUUUAAAUAAGCCAAUUUGGUUUUAUUUAUAAAUGGAUAAAUUUUCCCGUAAAAAGGAAUAGACUUUUCAGUUUAAAAUAAAUCUUAAUUGACUUUUUAAAAGGAAAUUUAUUAAAUAACUGAUCUCAAUCAGAUAAGAUACCGCUGAACUUAAGCAUAUCAAUAAGCGGAGGAAAAGAACUAACAAGGAUUCCUUAGUAACGGCGAGUGAGCGGGAAGAGCUCAAAUUUGAAAUCUUCAAGGUUCUACCUUGAUGAAUUGUAGUUUAUAGAAGUGUUUUCUGUUAGUAGAAUGGCAAAAGUUCUUUGGAAUAGGACAUCGUAGAGGUGAGAAUCCGUAUUUGGUCAUUCUUCUAGCUUGUGAUACACUUUCAACGAGUCGGAUUGUUUGGGAAUGCAGUCCAAAAUGGGUGGUAAUUUCAUCUAAAGCUAAUAUUGGCGAGAGACCGAUAGCGAACAAGUACCGUGAGGGAAAGAUGAAAGAACUUUGAAAAGAGAGUUAAACAGUACGUGAGAUUGUCAAAAGGGAAGCGUUUGACACCAGUGUUGUUUUUCCGAAAAUCAAUUACGAAUGUUUUGUUUUUGAGAAGUUAUGACUUCAUCGGCUUGCUUCUUUCUUUACGAAACUUUUAAUGCACUUUCGGUUAACAAUCAACAUCAAUUUCUUUUGUUGUAAAAGGGUAGAGGAAGGUGGCUUCUUUCGGAGAAAGUGUUAUAGCCUUGUACUCUGCAAUCGGAGAGAUUGAGGUCUGCAGCGUGAUCCUUCGGGGUUAGAUACAUUUGUGCUAAGUUAUAGCUUUUCAUAGACAACUUGUUGACUAUGUUAGUCUUGUAGCUUACUCGCUUAUGCUAUUUUACCUACGCUUAGGAUGUUGAC